This 862-nucleotide ribosomal RNA is filed under the name Bacillus subtilis. RNAcentral's name for it is "bacterial SSU rRNA". It matches the Rfam family "Bacterial small subunit ribosomal RNA", at positions 383 to 1240 of the family's 1533-position model. RNAcentral also lists the same sequence under 1 other name. The record is from RNAcentral. Lineage: Bacteria; Bacillati; Bacillota; Bacilli; Caryophanales; Bacillaceae.
UUGACGGAGCACGCCGCGUGAGUGAUGAAGGUUUUCGGAUCGUAAAGCUCUGUUGUUAGGGAAGAACAAGUGCCGUUCAAAUAGGGCGGCACCUUGACGGUACCUAACCAGAAAGCCACGGCUAACUACGUGCCAGCAGCCGCGGUAAUACGUAGGUGGCAAGCGUUGUCCGGAAUUAUUGGGCGUAAAGGGCUCGCAGGCGGUUUCUUAAGUCUGAUGUGAAAGCCCCCGGCUCAACCGGGGAGGGUCAUUGGAAACUGGGGAACUUGAGUGCAGAAGAGGAGAGUGGAAUUCCACGUGUAGCGGUGAAAUGCGUAGAGAUGUGGAGGAACACCAGUGGCGAAGGCGACUCUCUGGUCUGUAACUGACGCUGAGGAGCGAAAGCGUGGGGAGCGAACAGGAUUAGAUACCCUGGUAGUCCACGCCGUAAACGAUGAGUGCUAAGUGUUAGGGGGUUUCCGCCCCUUAGUGCUGCAGCUAACGCAUUAAGCACUCCGCCUGGGGAGUACGGUCGCAAGACUGAAACUCAAAGGAAUUGACGGGGGCCCGCACAAGCGGUGGAGCAUGUGGUUUAAUUCGAAGCAACGCGAAGAACCUUACCAGGUCUUGACAUCCUCUGACAAUCCUAGAGAUAGGACGUCCCCUUCGGGGGCAGAGUGACAGGUGGUGCAUGGUUGUCGUCAGCUCGUGUCGUGAGAUGUUGGGUUAAGUCCCGCAACGAGCGCAACCCUUGAUCUUAGUUGCCAGCAUUCAGUUGGCACUCUAAGGUGACUGCCGGUGACAACCGGAGGAAGGUGGGGAUGACGUCAAAUCAUCAUGCCCCUUAUGACCUGGGCUACACACGUGCUACAUGGACAGACAA